CUCAGUGGCGUGGGCGCUGCACCCCGGGCUGAGAGCGUCCGGCAGUAAAGCCCAGCUUCCCCUGGUGGAGUCGGGAAAAGGGAGCGUCAGUGCUGAGCGAGCUUCCGUCUCCUCCCUCAGUGUUUCUGCCCCAGGGCCUGCAACAUGAGCAUCCCUGACUUCCUGCAGUGUGCUGAGGACUACGAGACUCUCCCUGUGGUGGUCCAACCCGUGGGGAUCAUCUUAGAGGAGAAUUUCUUUUGCAUCUGUAAGCGAAUCUCCUUGGUGAGCCAGAUCAGCCCAUGUAGCUCCCAGUAGGCACUCUGUAUCCACUACAGGCACCACUAUGCACCUGAGAAUGGGUGGAGCAACUUCCAAACCCACUGCAAGGUCGUGGGCCUUGUCACCAUUACCGACUGCCUCUCGGCCAAGGCCUUCGAGAAAAUCCACGUGCAGAGGAGAUGUAUGGCACCAGGCUUUAUGACUCUCAGCUCUUUGUCUUUGUGCUGCAUGUGUAGGUAGCCGAGCAGACGCGCACUGACGUGGCCUUCAAUCUACCAGGGCUGCAGGGUGGUGGAGAAGAGGAUCAAGGAAUUCACUGAGUCACUCUUCAUCAUGCUGAUGUCCAAGUGGCUGGAUGGGGCCCCCGACAAGUCUGGGGACAAGAUCCCCCUUCUCUGCAUCUUGUUUGAGAAGGAGGACUUCAUGGGACUAGACACAGACAGCAGAGAGAUCCUUUUAGGGUUAGUGUGGACACUUACUCCAGCUUUUCAGCCAGGA
Non-coding RNA from Vicugna pacos (alpaca), 759 nucleotides. The record is from RefSeq and is a predicted model, not a curated record. NCBI's taxonomy places the organism in Eukaryota, Metazoa, Chordata, Mammalia, Artiodactyla, Camelidae.